UCCUCGUCGGGGCCCUACGGCUGCCGGGCUGCGCAGGGCUGGGAGGGGAAGGCAGGCGGUGGGAAGGGCAGGUGCUGAGCAGAGCUGCAGUCCUGCCCCAGGGCUCCUGCCUGUGCCGCAGCUGCGGCUGUCUGGAUUUUCUGCCCUGUGAAUGAGGAUUAAAAAAAAAAAAAAAAAAAAAAAGUUUUGUCUUUAGGGCAACAAAUGUCAGGGUUUUUUCCCCUCUGCUUGCUGCGAUGCCGUAAGCCGUGUCAGCUCUGUGCCUACACCUGGUGUGCGUGUCCCAGUGGGAUCCUGCCGGAGCUGCCGGCGAGGCAGGGAUCUGCUGGCGGAUGUCCUGGGGGAGCACAUCAACCUGAUGGCACCUGGCCUGUGCCAAACGACGGGUAUGAUCUGUGGGGCUGCCCACCUUGAAAGUGUAAUCCUCACUGCUGAAAAUACUGCAGAAAAUGCAUGCACGGUUUAAAUUGCCACAUAAAUUGAAUACAGGAGCGUACAGAAUAAUCCUGCCCCUAAAGAAGAAUAUAGGAAUGUAGCCUUGUUACUUAAAUCCUUAGUUUGCAAGUUUUGAGAUCGUAUCUGCUCACGGUGUGUUUUGCUUGAAUUAAAUAUAUUGAUAAUCUGUUUGCUCCAAUAACCGUGAAUAGGUAGAACGGUAUAACAAACCAGUUCAGCAUCGCUUCCCCUAAGGAACAGAAAGACAUUUUUUAGGCGAUUUUUCUAGAGCCCCGUGGGCUGCGGGAGGAACUUGCCGGUCCCCUCACGCAGGGUGGCUCUGGCAUGGAGCUGUCUGCGGAUCCUGCUUCAUCCAGGAGCAACAGCUCCAGCAGAGGCACAGAUGCAGGAUGCUGCUUUGGAAAUUUCCCCAUUCUGGUAUCAUUAACCCUAAACUGGCCUUCGCCCUGGGUUAUUUUGCCAGCUGCACCGAUUAGUCAUUCUCCUGUCCCCUUAUUUGCUUCGCCAUCUCUCCUCAAUCCCUUCAAUCCUGACAUGUAUUUCUAUUAAUCAGGCCCUUCCCUUGCCUGUUUUUUCUGGCUGGAUUUGCAGAAGUGGUUUAUUUACAAAUCUCUCCAGAAUUGGCCUCUUAUGGUUAAAAGUGACGCGGGCGUUGGUUGAAGAAAAGCUGAUUUUUGACAAACUCAGCAUGAGAAUGAGAACAGAUGGGGACUUUGAUGAAUUAGAUAUUGCUAAAUGUUGUCCUCCUGCAAAUCAGCUUGGUUUUCCCUAUUAGCAUAAGAAGCAGGAAAAAGGCUUUAAUUUCUCUAAACAUUUCCCCUUAAUGAUCUACCUCUCCAGCUUAGAGAUUUAUAUUGCUGCUUAUCAGCAAAGCAGCUGAAUUCCUUCCACAGAGAAUCGACUGCAAUUUCGAGGUGAUUUCUGGCGUUUUUCCCUCCCUGGAAUGAGAACUGUGCUUAGGAGAGGUGGUUGCUGUUUUUAAAUGGUAUCAAGUCAGGGGCUUUUUUAUAUGUUUUUAGGUUGAUUUAAUGGAGUGAUUUUGUAAAAUUUUAUUUAUUUUUUUAAAGAGUCAAGAGGAGCCACCAGCACAUCCUGGAGAUGCUUUAGGCUCUUUGCCCCGUCUGGCAGCGCUGCCGGCUCUCCUGCGCCCUGACGCCUCUGCCGCGGUGAGUCGCAGCCCGCAGGGUCCCUGAGCAGGGUGGAGGGUGGCAGUCCUCGCUGUGCUCGGGGACCCGGCCAGCGGCACCCCGCCUGCACCCGCAGCAUCCUGCACUGAUGCCGGGCAUGGCUCGCGAGGCUGGUAGGGCUGGUGGGCACCGUGGUAGGUGUCGUCCCACCCGUGCGAAGAGCUGCCCCUCUCUGUUACCUUUUCCAGGUGGGCUGGGCUUCUAGGGUGGAGGUCUUGUGUUACAGGGUAUGGUUAGUGGUGUGGCGCCCGUGCUUGCACUGGGGUUUGUCCUCAGGAUGCAAAAGCCCCUGAGGCAGCAGAGCUCUGACACUAACCUCGCUGCGCCCGUAGCGUCUAAGGGUAGUUCAGCUUGGCUGGAUGGCCGCACUGCAGGCGAGGAGCAGGGGACUGUGAGGGGGGGGACGGGGGCUCUGCCACGCGCCGGGAUGGAGGAAGGCUGUUGUAGGUGCUCUGGGAUUUAUCUGCUGUGUAGGCGAGUGGCUGAGAGAAAGAUGGAGCGGGGGCAGCCCCUGGGGCUUUGCCAGGGCUGCUCACUGCGUGGAGCUUUGCCGGGUUUUACUGCAGGCUGUUGGCAAAGGAUGGAGCUAGCACAUUGUGGGUGCUCUAGCACCUGAUGCUGAAUGCUGUUUCAUAAUCUCUCCAGCCCAGAGGUUUGCAAAUGCUAUUUCCCUUUCUGCUUCCACCUCUGACCUUCUUGCAUCUCCUCCUGCUCUGCCCAAGGGCCAAAGCGAUGCUGCUCUAUGGAUGCCAGAUACAGGCGCUGGGUUUGCCAGUGACACUGGGGAUGGCAGAAACGAUCCUGUUUAACUUCUCUGCAGGAAAGACUCUGGAGUGCUGAGGGAACAGGAUCCCACGCUGUCUCACCAUCCCCUUCAGAGGGAGGGAGUCUGCAGGGAGGUUUUUUAAUAGCUCGGCUUUAAUUAUCCCUUCUGCCACUUGUAGGUCCGAGCCUCGAUGGCGAGAUAAGGCAUCCACUCGCUGAACCCCUGAAGGGAACUGCUUUGCAAGUCAGCAGCACCGCGGGGAUGGUGCGAGUAGCUGAGGACCUGCACGCACUCUCUUGCUGCGCAAUAAUUUUCUUCAAGGCUGAGGAGGAAGCGCCUGACAGGAAUCCUUUGCCAUCUGGGUACCUACAGACUGUGUCUGAGCCAUCUCUUCAUCAGUAAACCCAAGAAAACACCAUCAGAUGGAGCUUCUGGAGCCUUGUUUUAUCCGGAAGGUUUCCUGGCUUGCGAGUGCUGCUGUCUUUGACCCCCAAAUCUGCCCAAAUGCUCCAGCAUCCCAUGGGACUGCUCAACAGGGCUGGAGCUUGCCCUCAGAAGAAGAGAUCCUCCUCAGCCAUACCUGCUCAUUGCAGAGGGGCUAGAGCAGCCUGGCCGCAGGAAAUCACCGCGGCACCAUCAUUUUGUGGAAAUGGUGAUGUCACUCCACUACAAUGACUUGGGAAAAGGCAGUACCUCCCUGAAAGCGGAUCGCAGGUACUCCACAGCAUGACGGGGAAGCGUGACCCAGCCUUGGCGCAGGCGAUGCAGCGAGCGUUGGUGCAUGGGAGUCACGAGGAGCUGAGAUCAAAGCCACAGCCGCUCCAAGCUUUCCUGGCCAGAUGUGGUUUUCGAUAAAGGAACUGGGCAAUUAUUGCUCCAUAACUCCACGGAUUUUAUGUGAACCAUUAUUAAAUUAUUAUUAAAUCAUUGUUAAAUGUGAAGUCUGAGAAGGCGUGAGGAAGAAUCCACCCUGAGUGGCUCAGUGCCAGCACCAAGGACGUUACACCUUGAUGUGCAAGAGUUUGGAUGGUUCAGCCCAGCUGAAGAGGGACAUCACAAGAAGAAGGGCUGUGUCUGUUCCAGGGCAUCCAUCACUUUUGGCAACGGGCUCCUUAUGCAAUGGAAGGGCUGGGAAGCACGUGGUCCUCCAGUGGGCCGCAGACGGAGAGGGGCACAGGGGGAGCCGGAGCAGCCUGGCUGGGGGACGGGGCUCAUCACGGUGAUUAAUACGAGCCUGAUUGCGUGACCCUCGCUGGGGACAGCAUGCUUGGCAUGGGUUGGAGGUGGAGGGGACUGUGCCCUGGGACUCCUCUGUGUGCCUGACCCACGCCUGCCUCCUUCCAUUCCUCCCCCAUCACUUCCAGCAGAAGUUUGAGAUGAACAUCAUCUUCAGAGAUGCUUGGGUGUCCUGGUCCUGCAAGAAGUCAGUGCGUGCCUAGAUGACCUGCCUCACCUUGAGUAUGCUUGUGUCUUACCAGUGAGGUACACCACACCACGGAGGUGACACACGAGAUCUCUGCUCUUUCGCAUUCCCUGCAAACCUAAUCUCUGGAUUAAUGCUUUCUUGCCAUUAAACUUCUGAUCUGCACUGAGAAAACACAAUGAAGUCAUUGCAAGUCCUGAAAACUGGAAAAAGUCCCUCUUGUUUGAAGCCCUCCCGGGAUAAGUUUCCGACAAGGAGGAGGUCCAAAACGCGAGUGUUUGUGAACAAAAUCUGACUCUUGCAAUCUGCCCACACUGGAUCAGGCUAUUAACGAGUUCAUGACAAGCAACGCACUGGAACGUAAUUAGAGAAGAACUCCGUAGCCAGCCAGACCCUCCCAACCUUUUAAAUGUCAGCUCGGAAACACAUGAAUUGGUUGGAAGGGUCUUCUGGAGCCAAGGUAAACUUUGGGGAAUUGGGGUAAUCUGCCAACAUGCCUUCAGAGCAGCGAGGUCCUGGUACCAGACGGUCAGCUCGCUGCAGUGACUCCUCCUUGGCAUGGUUGUGAUGGAUGAUUUCUGACACAUCCCAUCUCCCAUGGGCUGGUCUUUUAUUAUAAAGUAAUCUUCCUGGCAGAAAACGAUGGUUUCAUCAAGACUGAGGUGUUUUGUAGGAACAUGGCUGACCCUUCUCCCAAGGGCACAUUUUGACUUUUCCUUUAGAGACAAGAUUUCCUCUCCAUGACAAGGCAGGUUAUCUUUUUUAAUCAGACCUGGAAUAAAAGAUUCAGAUCUGUCCCAAUGUCCAGUUCCUCUUUGGAAAUUUGUUUCCUGGGAAAUUUCAAAAUGUUUUUGAAACAAGUUUGCAAACACGGAGCACGCUCCUAGCAAUCCUGGCAGGCAGCAGCUCCGAAUACCCUACAGGAAAGCAUCCGAGGGACGGAGAAAACUCCUCCACCUGCAACAGUUCAUCCAUGCAAAUGAUGCUGGAUUAAACUGUCUCCUAAUAGAGGCUGGCCCAAGCAAACCCUCUCUUGCAAGUGAUGCUUUUCCCUGUGUCUUUUCCUCUCUUGGGGUUUUCUUCCGGACAAAAAGCUGGCACUGGUUCCUCAGCUCUGCAAGUAACCUUGGGAAAGGGGUUGGGAAGCCCUCAGUUGUUUGGGAUCCCGAGCCUGGGACAGGUGGCUGAAGGGGAUGGAUGGAUGUUGGUGACCAAAGUGCAGAUUUGAAGACCCAGGUGGGAUUUACAUAAGCACACGGUCGAGCCAACACUUUGAGAGCCAGCCCCAAAGCUGCUGCCUUCAGACCCCCCCUUUCUGUCCCUGCUUUCCCAGCUGGGGAUGGGAGUCUGGGAUUUAAUGCCUGGAGUCAGAAACAAAGUCCAAGCAGGUGCUGUUGCCAGCUGGCAAGACUGAUACAGCCUGGCUUUGCUUCCUGAAGGCAAGAGCAUCCUUUAACAUCCCCACUGGGGAGCACCAACGACAGCAGCUUGCAACCCCAAUCUUGCCAAAGGGAGUAUUUUUGCACUCACUGCACCAUUGGGCCAUGCAGCUCUUGGCCAUGGGAUGAUGUUGGGACAGAGAAAACAGCCAGGCUGAGAAAGUGCCUGGAUGCUACAUCUGUGUGUGCCCAUCGCCCCGUUCCCAGCCCUGGGAGGCUGCAACAGCUCGGGGCAGCUGGGAUGGGUGCAGGGACUUCACCUUCUCCCUCUUGCAUUGCCUGAGGUCCGGCUGCCUCUUGGCAUUUUAUGAACAUAAAGCAUUUUGCCUGCGAAUUUCAGCUGGACAACGCAUCCUGCAUUUUACCAUCAGGCUCUGAGGCAGAUCAGCCGGCUUCUGGGAGACAGUUCGUUAGGGGAGACCAUAACGAGAUCAUUUCUUGCUGGAACAACACACUGGCAGAACAUCGGCGCAGAACAGCACCCAACCCUGCUGAGGCUUUCCUUUAUUUCUCGUCACUAAAGGGACUUAGAGAGCUCUACAGGGAUUUGUAACUCCUUCAAGUAAUAGCGUCGAUACCUAGUGGGAGAUGCAGGGAUUUAUAUCUUCACAGGAUCAUCUGAAACAUCACAAAUUAAUGAAGUGUGGUUGCGACAGAGCGUCGUGGCAGCCAGUCACCGUGCCCAGAAGCCCAGUCCUGGACGCAGCAACACACAUUUCAGGUUGGGGUCCCGAAGCACUCAGAGGGCAGAAAAGCACCUAAUUUCUUGGAAAUUCCACAAGUGCAUCCCUGUCUGCCGUGCCUGGACCUUCGGACAGAUUGCCAACGUGAGCAGUGACCCUAUUAGAUGCCAAUUUUGGGGCUCCACGGAAGUGCUUGGAAGGGAGUCAGAGACGCCAGCCAUGCCAAGCUCCGGGCUCUGGUGAGGGAUGCUCACUGAAGUAUCCAAAAUGAUGGAUGCUGCAGCUGAACCCCAAAACCAGCAGUUAAACCCCCCAAACAGAAGCCUCCAGAUGAGCCGAUGGGCUGAUCCUGCAGCCACCUCUGAAUCCCACCAGUCUUCCCAGGCUGGAUUUCCUUGCCCAUGCAUCCCUCAGAAAACUCCCAGCCUGGGACUGGGAAGCAAAUCUCAUGGGUGGCUUAGCUCAGAUGUAUUCUGGCACAGGCCCAAUACUAUAGAAAAUUUGGGUGCAGGUUUCAUCUUCUCCCCUUUCUCCUCUUUAGCAUAUUUUAAUUAAUUGAGCAAAGUGUUGGAGUGAAAUAAUUGCCCUGCCUUGGAGAAAAAAAAGACUGACAAACUUUUCUUGAGAACAUGCAGAAAUAGGACUUUUUAGCUAGUCCAAAACUCUCUUUGAGACAUGCUGUAUGCAGUUUGCCAAACCAUGGCUCGGUUUUGUUGGCCAUUGUAAUGAGAAACCUGCUCACAGCCACCACGUCCAGGUCUCUCCACCACUGAUGUCCUCCACGGUGGCCUCCCCUGGAGAACAAAACAUGGCAAUUCACCCCAAACCAACUACUUACAGGUCAAAAUCACAAAGCAUCUUCUAGGAAACAUCUCCUCCUUCUAGAGAAGGUCUUAUCGGGAAGGUCCAUCAGCAGUCACCGAAAUGCUAUUGCUCCCCUGUGCAGCACAUUUAUUUUUAACGUAAUUAAGAUCCACUGGGGUCCUUCAGCUGUGCAUGACCAACAGGCAUGUUGUCUCCCAAAGGACAUGUGUCCAGGAGCUCUGCAUGGGCAGAGGGGCCAAACGGCCAGUGCUUUGUGCAGAAGAGGUGAAUGUGCGCUCUGCCCUUAAUAAAAACAUGAAUGUAAAUUGCAACAACCUCCACAGAUCGGACACAAUAAUAUAGAAGUAGGAAAAAAACUAGACUAGUGCUCUGAGGGUUGAUGAGGCACUCAGGAUUUCAGUGGCUCUUGCAGGGUUUAUUAAUUGGGGUGAUGUUUUUCUAUUAAUGUGAAUGAG
Grus americana (Whooping crane) is the source of this 7234-nucleotide long non-coding RNA. RefSeq lists it as uncharacterized. The record is from RefSeq and is a predicted model, not a curated record. NCBI's taxonomy places the organism in Eukaryota, Metazoa, Chordata, Aves, Gruiformes, Gruidae. The transcript is spliced from 6 exons.